GCGUCAUUGGUCUAGGGGUUAGGAUUCAACUCUUCCAUUGAGAUAAGUUGAGGCUCGGAUUCGAAUUCCGGAUGACGCA
RNAcentral lists this transfer RNA (79 nucleotides) under Fusarium ambrosium. RNAcentral's name for it is "tRNA-Gly". RNAcentral also lists the same sequence under 6 other names. The record is from RNAcentral. Lineage: Eukaryota; Fungi; Ascomycota; Sordariomycetes; Hypocreales; Nectriaceae.